AUAUAUAUGUCAUGCCCCGGAUUACACGUUCCCCGAGCACGCCGAUAAAUCCGCCGUAUACAAAGAAAUUUUUCCUGUAUACGAAGCGACAGCUGUACCUGUAAAACAUACAAUACCACAAACAGUAGUAUAGAGCUGCUAAAAGAACUAGUAAAGUAAAAGAAACCGAGUUCCAUAUACAUACACUGAAUCCCAGAGUACAAAACUAUUCGCGCUGGCGAGUUAAAAGUCUGUAUGUACAUGAACCCAAACCAAAACAUCUACCUGCAGUAGGGGUGCCUCUAGCUCUGCUCCUCGGGUAGGGUUCUAACUCGCGACGCCCUUGCCUAAAUCCUGAUCAGCAACAGCAGCAGCCGAAGACGAAGGCUCUGCAAAAACGGGAUAACAACUGGGCGUGAGAACUACUGUAGAAACAAGUAGUCCUCAGUGGGUGCCGCCCUCAACAAUUAUCGGUCCACCCACUAAGUCUACAGAAGGUAACAAGGCUAGCAAGAAAAGCUGGAAAGAAAUCUACAGCUAUAUAUCGCUACACUAGCAUGAUCUACACUAACCAACUGUAGUAAAAGUCACAACUGACUCAAUCUCACUAGGGACUGUGAACACACCCGUCCCGCCUGUCGGAUCGAACCCGUAACCUACUCCAAGAGUAGCUGGUGGAGAAAACUCUCUAGGGACUGUGAAUACACCCAUCCCGUCUAAUUAGGUGGCACCGUAGCUCAAGAGUAACCGGCGGAGAAGACUCUCUAGAGACUGUGAAUACACCAGUCUCGUUUACUAGACUACACUGUAUCUCAAGAGUAACCGGCGGAGAAAACUCUCUAAAGACUGUGAAUACACCCAUCUCGCCUAAUUAGAAUACACCGUAUCUCAAGAGUAGUCGGUUCCAGAAAAGGUCUAACAGGACGGCUAAGACUCCACUAACGUCACAACCUCACUAAAGGUAGGGAAAAGCGUCACUCACUAUCUCACCCAGGCUGCCCAAAACGGACCCACCUUGCCUGUAUCUAGCUUCGCCGUACACUACCCCGAGGGUAGCCGGCUCAAGAACUGUCCAACAGAAACUGCGACACUCAUCGCACUGAAACCUCAUUCCGGAAUGGCAUUCGUGGGCGCGACCCAACCGAGUUUACAAGUGUCUCUAUCAAGUUCGUACUGCUCUCACAGGCUAAGGUCAAGUAACCAACUCUAACUGGUCUAACAACUAACAGAUCACGUGCCCUCAGUACAAUCCGUCGCCAAAAAGGCGAUACGGGUCCACCGUCAACCCCGACGGCCCCCAACAGUCCGGAACAGCCUGAAAGUUACUAUAAAAAAAUUCACUCGGCAUUCCAGCACGAACGUAAAUACAUUCUAAUCUACCUGGGAUACUCACUAUGAUGAUACUGCAAUAGUAUAAAAUCAUACAACGGCCC
RNAcentral lists this long non-coding RNA (1412 nucleotides) under Ananas comosus (pineapple). RNAcentral's name for it is "long non-coding RNA (ACOM_LNC025814)". The record is from RNAcentral. Lineage: Eukaryota; Viridiplantae; Streptophyta; Magnoliopsida; Poales; Bromeliaceae.